ACCUGGCUGGCUCAGUCGGUACAGCAUGUGACCCUUGAUCUGAGGGUUGUGAGUUCGAGCCCCACGCUGGGUG
RNAcentral lists this transfer RNA (73 nucleotides) under Ailuropoda melanoleuca (giant panda). It matches the Rfam family "tRNA". From Rfam's summary of the family: Transfer RNA (tRNA) molecules are approximately 80 nucleotides in length. Their secondary structure includes four short double-helical elements and three loops (D, anti-codon, and T loops). Further hydrogen bonds mediate the characteristic L-shaped molecular structure. tRNAs have two regions of fundamental functional importance: the anti-codon, which is responsible for specific mRNA codon recognition, and the 3' end, to which the tRNAs corresponding amino acid is attached (by aminoacyl-tRNA synthetases). tRNAs cope with the degeneracy of the genetic code in two manners: having more than one tRNA (with a specific anti-codon) for a particular amino acid; and 'wobble' base-pairing, i.e. permitting non-standard base-pairing at the 3rd anti-codon position. Lineage: Eukaryota; Metazoa; Chordata; Mammalia; Carnivora; Ursidae. The record is from Rfam by way of RNAcentral.